UUUGAUCCUGGCUCAGGAUGAACGCUAGCGGCACGCUUCAUACAUGCAAGUCGAGGGGCAGCAUAAAGUACUUGUACUUUGAUGGCGACCGGCGAACGGGUGCGUAACGCGUAUGCAACUUACCUUUUACUAGAGAAUAGCCAAGAGAAAUUUUGAUUAAUGCUCUAUACUCUUUUUAACUCACAUGAGUUUUUAAGAAAAGCUCCGGCGGUAAAAGAUGGGCAUGCGUCCUAUUAGCUUGUAGGUGAGGUAACGGCUCACCUAAGCUCCGAUAGGUAGGGGUCCUGAGAGGGAGAUCCCCCACACUGGUACUGAGACACGGACCAGACUUCUACGGAAGGCAGCAGUAAGGAAUAUUGGACAAUGGAGGAAACUCUGAUCCAGCGAUGCCGCGUGAAGGAAGACGGCCCUAUGGGUUGUAAACUUCUUUUAUACAGGAAGAAACCUUUCCACGUGUGGAAAGCUGACGGUACUGUAAGAAUAAGGAUCGGCUAACUCCGUGCCAGCAGCCGCGGUAAUAAGGG
Molecule: ribosomal RNA, 524 nt
Filed under: uncultured Bacteroidota bacterium
Lineage: Bacteria; Pseudomonadati; Bacteroidota
Description: bacterial SSU rRNA
Rfam family: Bacterial small subunit ribosomal RNA
Source: RNAcentral